AAGUCGUAACAAGGUUUCCGUAGGUGAACCUGCGGAAGGGUCAUUAACACGUAUCCAAACGUUAAACCCCCCUGUGAACCUUCAGUGUACUCGUCCGUCCGUUAGCAAAAGCAGCAAUCCCUGGUAAAUCAUCGCCGAACAGUUUUCGAUUCAGGGACGUCUGCAAGGAGCGUGCAUGUUGUGCGAGCAAGUGGCCUGGCAUCCCCAAGCAGUUAGUGUCUGAAAGUGUCAUUAACUGUGUAAGGAUGACGCAGUCACGAUCGUUGGAGGCCCACACGGCCGACGACCGGGUCACUGGGCGCAAGCCCCCCUAUAACAAACGCUGCUAAGCGCGGCCGCGAUAAUACGCAGUCGACCAAAAACCGAACAACUGUUAACAAUGGAUAUCUUGGUUCUC
RNAcentral lists this unclassified non-coding RNA (397 nucleotides) under fungal sp. RNAcentral describes it as "partial internal transcribed spacer region". The stretch from base 1 to 46 matches the Rfam family "Eukaryotic small subunit ribosomal RNA", at positions 1786 to 1831 of the family's 1831-position model. Lineage: Eukaryota; Fungi. The record is from RNAcentral.